GAUGAACGCUGGCGGCGUGCCUAAUACAUGCCAGUCGAGCGAACAGAUAAGGAGCUUGCUCCUUUGACGUUAGCGGCGGACGGGUGAGUAACACGUGGGUAACCUACCUAUAAGACUGGGAUAACUUCGGGAAACCGGAGCUAAUACCGGAUAACAUUUGGAACCGCAUGGUUCUAAAGUGAAAGAUGGUUUUGCUAUCACUUAUAGAUGGACCCGCGCCGUAUUAGCUAGUUGGUAAGGUAACGGCUUACCAAGGCGACGAUACGUAGCCGACCUGAGAGGGUGAUCGGCCACACUGGAACUGAGACACGGUCCAGACUCCUACGGGAGGCAGCAGUAGGGAAUCUUCCGCAAUGGGCGAAAGCCUGACGGAGCAACGCCGCGUGAGUGAUGAAGGGUUUCGGCUCGUAAAACUCUGUUAUUAGGGAAGAACAAACGUGUAAGUAACUGUGCACGUCUUGGCGGUACCUAAUCAGAAAGCCACGGCUAACUACGUG
RNAcentral lists this ribosomal RNA (497 nucleotides) under uncultured bacterium. Its description in RNAcentral is "partial 16S ribosomal RNA". It matches the Rfam family "Bacterial small subunit ribosomal RNA", at positions 28 to 507 of the family's 1533-position model. The record is from RNAcentral.